Molecule: long non-coding RNA, 337 nt
Filed under: Hordeum vulgare
Lineage: Eukaryota; Viridiplantae; Streptophyta; Magnoliopsida; Poales; Poaceae
Description: long non-coding RNA (HVUL_LNC007089)
Source: RNAcentral
UUGCUGUAACUGAACCUUUUGUACUUCUUACAAUACAUUUUGUCAACGACCCUGACAUGCCGGCCCCAUCCAACCGCACCGCGGGACGAGAAGAGCCACCACGACACGCACUCAAGCCCAACACCAGGGUCCAAGCCCAUCUGGAACCAGUGAAGCCCAACCACGUUAACUAUUUAAGUCCACAAUACUCGAGGAGGAGGUAUUCGUGUAAGAUCACGAACCGGCUCGACGAUGGCACCUUCUUCUCUCCAUCUCGAUCCCCCUUUUGGUCAUUCGUGUAACAGAGUUGUAGUCGAGAUUGCUAUCUAAAUUCAUGAGUAUAAUUGCUAGAUCGAGA